RNAcentral lists this ribosomal RNA (374 nucleotides) under uncultured eukaryote. RNAcentral's name for it is "partial 18S ribosomal RNA". It matches the Rfam family "Eukaryotic small subunit ribosomal RNA", at positions 592 to 976 of the family's 1831-position model. The record is from RNAcentral.
CAAGAGCGCAUGUAAAAGUUGUUGCAGUUAAAAAGCUCGUAGUUGAACCUUGGGUUUGGUUGGCCGGUCCGCUUUUUUGCGAGUACUGGAUUCAACCGAGCCUUUCCUUCUGGCUAACCAGUCGUUUCGGCGGCUGGCGAACCAGGAUUUUUACUUUGAGAAAAUUAGAGUGUUCAAAGCAGGCAUUAGCUUGAAUAUAUUAGCAUGGAAUAAUAGAAUAGGACGUUAUGGUUCUAUUUUGUUGGUUUCUAGGACCAUCGUAAUGAUUAAUAGGGACGGUCGGGGGCAUCAGUAUUCAGUUGUCAGAGGUGAAAUUCUUGGAUUUACUGAAGACUAACUACUGCGAAAGCAUUUGCCAAGGACGUUUUCAUUAA